Long non-coding RNA from Nerophis ophidion (straightnose pipefish), 2359 nucleotides. RefSeq lists it as uncharacterized. Lineage: Eukaryota; Metazoa; Chordata; Actinopteri; Syngnathiformes; Syngnathidae. The record is from RefSeq and is a predicted model, not a curated record. The transcript is spliced from 6 exons.
GCGAUUUAUGCAAAAGAAGCCCAUUUUUCCACGCUGAUUUGCUUUUGUCCAACACAUCUGCGGAGUGUGUACGGUGGACAGGCCCUCGGGAGGUGAUCUUGUGAACACUUGCUGAGGAUCCUUGAUGCCGAGUGCAGGAUGUUUCCUACCAGUUUGAAGCCAUGUCUGAAGGGUUCCGAGGUGGAAUGUUCUGCGCUGGCCGAUGGCGGCGUCGGGGGGGGGGGGGGGGCACUGCACCGCAUGCCCAUGGUGACGAGGAAACAGCUGACGCAGGCAACAACGGCAUAGACCAACAUCUGAAGGAUGACAGGGAAAAAAAGCUCCAUCCCCCUGGAAAAGAAGGAAAGAAGGGAAGAAUAAUGUGGAUUUAUUGAGGAGAAAGAGGAGUAAAUAUUUGGUGGCGUUUAAGAAGUGUUUUUGUUCCACCUGCAUGACAAGAUGAGGACUUUUUUUAAGGCAGCACUUCCAACAAGAAGAAGAUGAGGACAUGUUUGAGGCAGCACUUCCAACAAGAAGAAGAUGAGGACAUGUUUGAGGCAGCACUUCCAACAAGAAGAAGAUGAGGACUUUUUUUUAAGGCAGCACUUCCAACAAGAAGAAGAUGAGGACAUGUUUGAGGCAGCACUUCCAACAAGAAGAAGAUGAGGACAUGUUUGAGGCAGCACUUCCAACAAGAAGAAGAUGAGGACAUGUUUGAGGCAGCACUUCCAACAAGAAGAAGAUGAGGACAUGUUUGAGGCAGCACUUCCAACAAGAAGAAGAUGAGGACAUGUUUGAGGCAGCACUUCCAACAAGAAGAAGAUGAGGACAUGUUUGAGGCAGCACUUCCAACAAGAAGAAGAUGAGGACAUGUUUGAGGCAGCACUUCCAACAAGAAGAAGAUGAGGACAUGUUUGAGGCAGCACUUCCAACAAGAAGAAGAUGAGGACAUGUUUGAGGCAGCACUUCCAACAAGAAGAAGAUGAGGACAUGUUUGAGGCAGCACUUCCAACAAGAAGAAGAAGAUGAGGACAUGUUUGAGGCAGCACUUCCAACAAGAAGAAGAUGAGGACUUUUUUUAAGGCAGCACUUCCAACAAGAAGAAGAUGAGGACAUGUUUGAGGCAGCACUUCCAACAAGAAGAAGGACUAGAAGUGACGUCAUACCUGAGUGGAAAAAGUUUGGACACCCCUGCCAUCAAAGGUCCAUUUCCCUACGAAGACCAUGCAUCCUGCCCAUCAACCAAUGGCCUCAGCAGCCAAGUUUGAUCACUCUAUGGAGGCUGUACACCCCUCCCAUCCCCACACCGCUGGCCCAUCACCAAAUGUCCACACCUAUGGUCCUUCACCCGGCGUACACAAUAGCUUGCUACCUGAAUCCACCUGAGAAUAAAAAGGCAGCUUUCCUGGCACCAGACAGGAGAGAUGCAGGCAACCCAUCUAUUGAGGACACUAUCUGUUAUCAACCACAGGCAGAAAAAUCAUGGACGCCAUGUGAUGGAAAAAAUGUGGGCAGAAAAAGAAGGAAUUGAAGAAGUCCUCUUGAAAAUAGAUCCGGUCCAAGUCAGAGUACUUCAAACUCUCUGCGACUUGGUUGGAGACAAAUACAGCGACGGCCCUCCUCAACAAUCGGGCCAGCAAGAGCUCUUUCCUGAGAGCGGCGUAUUCAUAUCAUUGUUCCGCCUUGCUGCCAUGAGACAUGCUGCAGAGCCCAAAUGUAGGCCUUUAUUUGGACCUCUUUUUUCUACGUGUCAAAAUGCUGUCCCUUUUUGACGCCCUGGAAACAAACCUGCAGGAACACCAAAGCGCAUCCUUAAGCGGAAAAAAGUGGAAGGAAUCCUUAGUAAGUUUUCCCAAACAGAGGGUGUUUUCAGGCCAAAAUUGGGUCACAAUAAUGAAAUAGAAGUUCAAUAUGAGAAAUGUUGAUCCCUUUUCGAUUACAGCAGACUGGAAGCAUAACUGAAUGUUACAUCAUUACAAUUUGUUAUCCACUCCAAACUAGCGUUAUGAUGAGCAAUAUAGUCUGAUGUCCAUCAACUUGAAGUGUGGUUGUGUGUAUUAAUGGUUUUGCGUAAAUGAAGGCAAUAAAAAAGCAUUAAAUGAGGCAUUUAAAAAAGGGAAUAUGAUUGUAGGACAUGGCGGACAGUCAAUAUGUCAAACGGUAAAGGAAAAUGAACUUAAGAAGGUUACAGUCGUUUCUUUUUUGAACUGCAUACAAGAGGUAUUGUAAGGUGGGAACACGACAAAAGCACUGCUUCAAUCAAGCAAAAUGAAACAUCAACUUUUCCAUUCUUUGGUCACUGUAGGCGUGUAGUCCUUAACUGUGACUCCAUGUCAGGAUAAUGGAGAAGCUGAGCCGACACGGAGUCGUUUAUUUCAAU